AAAUACUGCCCCUUCCCCAAUUAAAAAAGAUCCAAAAACCCUAAGAGAUUCCCUAUGUAUACUCUCUUCGCAUUCAAUGUAAAGGGGGAUUUUUUGGGUCGCCUUUUUCUUUCUGACGGAGAUUACUAGAAAAUUAUGGGAGUUUUAGAUGGAGAUUUUUCACUAAGGAGAAAAAAGCUUGAGAGGACUAUUUAGUACACGCGUAAAAUAUACCUUUUGGAUAGAAGAGUUAGUACUUUGGUGUUUAAGUUCGAUCUUCAGUUCUAAUCAUAUUCUUACUGUUCAUGGGCAAGGUCUCCCGUGGUGAAGGUCGACGCCAAGUUACUACUGUCCUAGUCACUGAACCUAAAUAGCUAUGUCACUCCCAAUUAUUUUUAGUUUUUUAGUUUUUGAUAGAUAUUUUUAUUUGAGUUGUGCUCUGUAUAAAUUUCUAUUUGUUUGAAUCAUGUAAAAACCAAGUG
RNAcentral lists this unclassified non-coding RNA (461 nucleotides) under Hevea brasiliensis (rubber tree). Lineage: Eukaryota; Viridiplantae; Streptophyta; Magnoliopsida; Malpighiales; Euphorbiaceae. The record is from RNAcentral.